GAUGAACGCUGGCGGCGUGCCUAAUACAUGCAAGUCGAGCGAACAGAUGAGGAGCUUGCUCCUCUGACGUUAGCGGCGGACGGGUGAGUAACACGUGGAUAACCUACCUAUAAGACUGGGAUAACUUCGGGAAACCGGAGCUAAUACCGGAUAAUAUAUUGAACCGCAUGGUUCAAUAGUGAAAGACGGUUUUGCUGUCACUUAUAGAUGGAUCCGCGCCGCAUUAGCUAGUUGGUAAGGUAACGGCUUACCAAGGCAACGAUGCGUAGCCGACCUGAGAGGGUGAUCGGCCACACUGGAACUGAGACACGGUCCAGACUCCUACGGGAGGCAGCAGUAGGGAAUCUUCCGCAAUGGGCGAAAGCCUGACGGAGCAACGCCGCGUGAGUGAUGAAGGUCUUCGGAUCGUAAAACUCUGUUAUUAGGGAAGAACAAAUGUGUAAGUAACUAUGCACGUCUUGACGGUACCUAAUCAGAAACCCACGGCUAACUACGUG
Molecule: ribosomal RNA, 497 nt
Filed under: uncultured bacterium
Lineage: Bacteria
Description: partial 16S ribosomal RNA
Rfam family: Bacterial small subunit ribosomal RNA
Source: RNAcentral